GGGUGAAAGAGGCAGAGGGGGAAGAGAGACACAAAGAGGGAGAAAUGAGAGAGACACACAAGUGGAGGGGAAGAAAGAGGCAGAGGGGGAAGAGAGAGACUGGGAAGGAGAGAGGAGACAUUGACACAGAGGAGCAGAGGAGGAGAAAGAGAGGACCCGGGGCAAUGCUCCGGCUCUCACGAGGUGAACUCUAGCCCUGGAGCUACGGGCUAGAGUUCACUUUCACCACUUCCUGGUGGUCGCAGUAGUAGGGUUGAACUCUAGCCCCAUACACACACUGCCAACACACACACCAUACACAUUCACACACUGCCCC
Non-coding RNA from Pelobates cultripes (western spadefoot toad), 316 nucleotides. The record is from the annotation of a GenBank genome assembly. Lineage: Eukaryota; Metazoa; Chordata; Amphibia; Anura; Pelobatidae.